UUUCUCCUCUGGACCUCUUUGAUACUGAGCCACUCACUCAAAAUGCUUAAACACUCAUCCAGAGCGUCCCUCUGAACAUCUGCUUCUGUCCCUCCCUCACCGACACGGUCUCUUUCCUACAUCUUCGUCACCGUCCACCGCCGCGAGCGUUAGUGGUUAACUAUUAGGGUCGAAAGUAUGAACUUGUUGCUAUAAUUACUCACCAUGGAAGGGAGCCUUCGAAGGGGCACUACACAACUGAUGCCCAAUACCCCAAUGGUCGGUGGCUAAGAUUUGAUGAUGCAUCUGUCUAUGCUAUUGGAACAAAUAAGGUUCUGCAUGAUGAAGCCUAUGUCCUUUUCUACAGACAACUGUGAAAGUAUUCAUGUUGUGUCAAAUAUCUAAUCCCUUCCUGCACCUGACACAAAAAACACUACUCCCCUAUAAAAAAGGAUUGCCAAUUGAUUAGUAUCUUGCAUGGGGAGAAUGUGGGUGAUUAUUUAAUAGCUGGUCAAUGUCCUUUGCUCAGGGCUCAGUUUGCUAAAAUGUCAUAAAUGGUUGAUCCAAUUCAGUGUGAGAAGAGUAAUUGUUGUAACAUUUUUUUUUAUGUUAUCUUAAACUAGAAAAGUUUUGUAGUCCUAGUUUAGGACAUGAACAUGUAUUUAUGGUAACAUCCAGUAAAGGUUUAUAAGAAUGUGCUGAAUAUUAUGAAGAA
Vigna angularis (adzuki bean) is the source of this 694-nucleotide long non-coding RNA. RefSeq lists it as uncharacterized. The record is from RefSeq and is a predicted model, not a curated record. Lineage: Eukaryota; Viridiplantae; Streptophyta; Magnoliopsida; Fabales; Fabaceae. The transcript has 2 exons.